GAAACGCCCAAACCAUGAAGUGCUCAAUUCUGAUGCAGCUCCCUCAAGGGAAUCCGGUGAGAAUCCGGAGCGAACCCGUCACUGUAAUUCGGUUAGAGGCACCACUAAGCCACUGGGAAAGCCAAACCUGGGAAGGCGGUGCCUCCUUAUUCCGAUGAGUCAGGAAACCUGCUGCUGGCACAACAGAUAA
RNAcentral lists this non-coding RNA (190 nucleotides) under Spirochaeta sp. The record is from RNAcentral. RNAcentral also lists the same sequence under 1 other name. Lineage: Bacteria; Pseudomonadati; Spirochaetota; Spirochaetia; Spirochaetales; Spirochaetaceae.